RNAcentral lists this ribosomal RNA (253 nucleotides) under uncultured bacterium. Its description in RNAcentral is "partial 16S ribosomal RNA". It matches the Rfam family "Bacterial small subunit ribosomal RNA", at positions 524 to 776 of the family's 1533-position model. The record is from RNAcentral.
UACGAGAGGUGCAAGCGUUAUUCGGAUUAAUUGGGUGUAAAGGGCGCGUAGACGGUAUGUUAAGUUUGUUGUUAAAUCCUCCGGCUCAACUGGAGAUAUGCAGCAAAUACUGGCGUGCUAGAGGAUGGAAGAGAGAAGUGGAAUUCUCGGAGUAGCGGUAAAAUGCGUAGAUCUCGAGAGGAACACCGAUGGCGAAGGCAGCUUCUUGGUCCAUUCCUGACGUUGAGGCGCGAAAGCGUUGGGAGCAAACAGG